RNAcentral lists this ribosomal RNA (496 nucleotides) under uncultured bacterium. Its description in RNAcentral is "partial 16S ribosomal RNA". It matches the Rfam family "Bacterial small subunit ribosomal RNA", at positions 29 to 507 of the family's 1533-position model. The record is from RNAcentral.
AUGAACGCUGGCGGCGUGCCUAAUACAUGCAGGUCGAGCGAACGGACGAGAAGCUUGCUUCUCUGAUGUUAGCGGCGGACGGGUGAGUAACACGUGGACAACCUACCUAUAAGACUGGGAUAACUUCGGGAAACCGGAGCUAAUACCGGAUAAUAUUUUGAACCGCAUGGUUCAAAAGUGAAAGACGGUCUUGCUGUCACUUAUAGAUGGAUCCGCGCUGCAUUAGCUAGUUGGUAAGGUAACGGCUUACCAAGGCAACGAUGCAUAGCCGACCUGAGAGGGUGAUCGGCCACACUGGAACUGAGACACGGUCCAGACUCCUACGGGAGGCAGCAGUAGGGAAUCUUCCGCAAUGGGCGAAAGCCUGACGGAGCAACGCCGCGUGAGUGAUGAAGGUCUUCGGAUCGUAAAACUCUGUUAUUAGGGAAGAACAUAUGUGUAAGUAACUGUGCACAUCUUGACGGUACCUAAUCAGAAAGCCACGGCUAACUACGUG